This 75-nucleotide non-coding RNA is filed under the name Massilia timonae. RNAcentral describes it as "SAH sequence". It matches the Rfam family "SAH (S-adenosyl-L-homocysteine) riboswitch aptamer". Lineage: Bacteria; Pseudomonadati; Pseudomonadota; Betaproteobacteria; Burkholderiales; Oxalobacteraceae. The record is from RNAcentral. RNAcentral also lists the same sequence under 1 other name.
CGUUCCGAGGAGCGUUGCGACAGAGAGGUCCCUCUCUGCCAGGCUCGGAUAUCCAAGCAACUGCGCUCACGUUAC